AUGGAGUUUGGGCUUCACUGGGUUUUCCUUGUUGCUCUUUUAAAAUGUGUCCAGUCUGAGGUGCAGCUGAUGGAGUCUGGGGGAGACCUGGUGAAACCUGGGGGGUCCCUGAGACUCUCCUGUGCAGCCUCUGGAUUCACCUUCAGUAGCUACUACAUGAGCUGGGUCCGCCCGGCUCCAGGCAAGGGGCUGCAGUGGGUCGCAUGGAUUAGCUAUGAUGCAAGUAGCACAAGCUACGCAGACUCUGUGAAGGGCCGAUUCACCAUCUCCAGAGACAACGGCAAGAACACGCUGUAUCUGCAGAUGAACAGCCUGAGAGCCGAGGACACGGCCAUGUAUUACUGUGCUGGGGGAAAAGUCCAUGAGAACAUCCUUGGGCUCUGUGUCUGA
Non-coding RNA from Leptonychotes weddellii (Weddell seal), 390 nucleotides. NCBI's taxonomy places the organism in Eukaryota, Metazoa, Chordata, Mammalia, Carnivora, Phocidae. The record is from the annotation of a RefSeq genome assembly.